RNAcentral lists this transfer RNA (78 nucleotides) under Ipomoea nil (Japanese morning glory). It matches the Rfam family "tRNA". Rfam says of the family: Transfer RNA (tRNA) molecules are approximately 80 nucleotides in length. Their secondary structure includes four short double-helical elements and three loops (D, anti-codon, and T loops). Further hydrogen bonds mediate the characteristic L-shaped molecular structure. tRNAs have two regions of fundamental functional importance: the anti-codon, which is responsible for specific mRNA codon recognition, and the 3' end, to which the tRNAs corresponding amino acid is attached (by aminoacyl-tRNA synthetases). tRNAs cope with the degeneracy of the genetic code in two manners: having more than one tRNA (with a specific anti-codon) for a particular amino acid; and 'wobble' base-pairing, i.e. permitting non-standard base-pairing at the 3rd anti-codon position. The record is from Rfam by way of RNAcentral. Lineage: Eukaryota; Viridiplantae; Streptophyta; Magnoliopsida; Solanales; Convolvulaceae.
AACGGUUUGGCCGAGUGGUCUAAGGUGCCAGAUUUAGGCUCUGGUCCAAAGGGGUGGGUUCAAAUCCCACAAUGUUUA